Molecule: small nuclear RNA, 124 nt
Organism: Heterocephalus glaber (naked mole-rat)
Lineage: Eukaryota; Metazoa; Chordata; Mammalia; Rodentia; Bathyergidae
Source: Ensembl
GUGUUGUAUGAAAGGAGAGAUGAUCAGCACUGCCUGACAGAAGAAUAGAAGAGACCCUCGGCCCAUAGGAUGCAUAUGGUUAAGGCAUUGUCACCUUCUUAGUGCCAUCUAACAAUGAUUUCUC